GACGAACGCUGGCGGCGUGCCUAAUACAUGCAAGUAGAACGCUGAAGCGAGGAGCUUGCUCUUCUUGGAUGAGUUGCGAACGGGUGAGUAACGCGUAGGUAACCUGCCUGGUAGCGGGGGAUAACUAUUGGAAACGAUAGCUAAUACCGCAUAAAAUUGAUUAUUGCAUGAUAAUUAAUUGAAAGAUGCAACUGCAUCACUACCAGAUGGACCUGCGUUGUAUUAGCUAGUUGGUGAGGUAACGGCUCACCAAGGCGACGAUACAUAGCCGACCUGAGAGGGUGAUCGGCCACACUGGGACUGAGACACGGCCCAGACUCCUACGGGAGGCAGCAGUAGGGAAUCUUCGGCAAUGGGGGGAACCCUGACCGAGCAACGCCGCGUGAGUGAAGAAGGUUUUCGGAUCGUAAAGCUCUGUUGUAAGAGAAGAACGGGUGUGAGAGUGGAAAGUUCACACUGUGACGGUAUCUUACCAGAAAGAGACGGCUAACUACGUG
Molecule: ribosomal RNA, 497 nt
Filed under: uncultured bacterium
Lineage: Bacteria
Description: partial 16S ribosomal RNA
Rfam family: Bacterial small subunit ribosomal RNA
Source: RNAcentral